UAAUACUAGCGGUCCAAGUCGCAACCAUUUUUAUUGGGUCUAAAACAUCCGUAGCUUGCUUAAUAAGUUUCUUGUGAAAUCUUAUCUCUUAAAGAUAAGGCGUGCAAGAAAUACUAUUGAGCUAGAGACUGGAAGACGUAGGAAGUACGAUCAAAGUAGUGGUAAAAUACAUUAAUCUUGACCGGACUCACAAUAGCGAAGGCAUCCUACGAGGACAGUUCUGACAGUAAGGGAUGAAGGCCAGGGGCGCAAAACGGAUUAGAUACCCGUGUAGUCCUAGCAGUAAACACUGCACACUAAACAUCAGUACCUCUUCGGGAGGUAUUGGUGCUGAAGGGAAGCCGAAGAGUGUGCUACCUGGGAAGUAUAGUCGCAAGGCCG
This 381-nucleotide ribosomal RNA is filed under the name uncultured archaeon. RNAcentral describes it as "bacterial SSU rRNA". It matches the Rfam family "Archaeal small subunit ribosomal RNA", at positions 471 to 851 of the family's 1478-position model. The record is from RNAcentral.